GACUUAAAAUCCGUCGACUUUAAAAAUCGUGAGGGUUCAAGUCCCUCUAUCCCC
This 54-nucleotide transfer RNA is filed under the name Cordylanthus rigidus subsp. rigidus. Its description in RNAcentral is "partial tRNA-Leu". The record is from RNAcentral. Lineage: Eukaryota; Viridiplantae; Streptophyta; Magnoliopsida; Lamiales; Orobanchaceae.